RNAcentral lists this ribosomal RNA (403 nucleotides) under uncultured bacterium. Its description in RNAcentral is "partial 16S ribosomal RNA". It matches the Rfam family "Bacterial small subunit ribosomal RNA", at positions 30 to 526 of the family's 1533-position model. The record is from RNAcentral.
AUUGAACGCUGGCGGCAGGCCUAACACAUGCAAUUCGAGCGAGCGGCGGACUGGUGAGUAAUGUAUGGGGACUGCCCGAUAGAGGGGGAUAACUACUGGAAACGGUGGCUACUACCGCAUACUAUCGGAUAACCCAUAUGGGAUUAGCUAGUCGGUGGGGUAAAGGCUCACCUAGGCGACGAUACCUAGCUGGUCUGAGAGGAUGACCAGCCACACUGGGAUUGAGACACGGUCCAGACUCCUACGGAGGCAGAAGUGGGGAAUAUUGCACAAUGGGCGCAAGCCUGAUGCAGCCAUGCCGCGUGUAGGAAGAAGGCCUUAGGGUUGUAAAGUACUUUCAGCGGGGAGGCGUUACCCGCAGAAGAAGCACCGGCUAACUCCGUGCCAGCAGCCGCGGUAAUAC